Molecule: long non-coding RNA, 3280 nt
Filed under: Triticum aestivum (bread wheat)
Lineage: Eukaryota; Viridiplantae; Streptophyta; Magnoliopsida; Poales; Poaceae
Description: long non-coding RNA (TAES_LNC008060)
Source: RNAcentral
UCAGAUUUAAAUAUUAUACAAUGCUCAAAUGUAAUACACAAAGAGGAUCAAGAUGAACACAUAUUGCACAAGCAUUGAUAAUAUAUUCACAAACAUACAUAUACUGAUCAUAAGUUCAAAAACAGGACAAUCUUGACAAAGCAAAGUUUGGCCAUUUGACCACCAUCCAGCAAACACAAGCCACAUAAAAGGACCACUAUUUGUUGUUCUGCAGGAGUUCAAACACUAAAUGGUACAGAACAAAGUCACACCCAUGAGCACAAGAUAUAUGCUCCAAAACACUUCAAGCACCAAAUGGUCUAGAACAGACAUAAGAUUCAUGAUCACAAGUUGGCUGGUCCAAAAUACUGUAACAGCCAAAUGCUGCCGAACACCCUGAAGUCAUCACAUCCAUGUGCAAUAGAUGGUUGAGUACCUGAAAAUGAAUGGUCAAAUUCUCAUAUGUUCACCCCAACGAUUUUGUGCACUUCAAAGUUUGAAAAUAAAUGUCAAAAACAAAUGUAGUCGUAUGUUGUCUAAUGAACUAGAAUUAAAAUGUAUAGCUUCAGACCAAAAAAAACUGUAGUAUGUGAAGUUCUGCAUAUGCCAUGUGAUCUUUAGAUUGUGACCAUCAAAGUGUUAACACCAAACUAAUAGAUGUAUGCUAACUACUAAGCAAUUUAUAUGAGCAUCAGAUUACGUCAUGUGAUUUCAUAUUUUUAAUUUUAAAACUGCAGUAUGUGGAGUUCAUUUUUAUAUUCAAGACACGAAAAGUUAUCUAGUGAUACUAUAAUUUCACAAAUAGGUUUUACAAUUUCAGAUACACUGAAGUGUUAUGUGUGACACAUUUUCCUCGCUUGCCAUUUGGUUUACUCUGGCGUAUGAUAGUUAAUCCAUGUACUAGUGUUCUUAGUUCAAUAUUAUCUGAUCGAUAAACUAGCUAAAUGACACGAAAAUCAGUCUUGGAGCAUUUGUGUGUUCAUCAAAAAUGAAAAGGGGUCCACAAGACAACUAUGGAAAAUGGUUCAUGGGUUGUACAUAUUAUCUGUAAAUCAAAUGAUAACAUACUCACAUCGCUUGUUUCUUAUGCAAACUAUUUUAGUUCAUAGGCUGCUUCUUCCACUGCACGUUGCUCUGAAAAGUGUGAAUACAUGUGUCAACCACCCUGUGAAGACGAAAACUAUGUUUAAUAAUAUAGAUAACUCGGCUGAUCCUAAAUCAAAUUAGAAACUAGGCCAAGGGACUGCAAGUUAUGUCCUUGGUAAGUUUAUUGUAUGAACUUUUCAAAUGCACAAAUGAUUUUCAGGUAAUAUUAGGACAUCACCAGAAUAAACACGAAUAUCUCACAACAUUCUAGGAUUUACCUGCAUAUGGAAACAGAGAGCUCAAAUUAGGAGGGUAGUGAACAUCAUCAGACAACUUACUUGAUAUCAAAUAUAUGACUCGUAUCUGACCGUUUAAUGGUCCUGUGAUGGUAACACAAAUGGAGAUUCUACUUAACACCAGUACUUAUUACCACAAAUAGUCAGGCAGUAGUAUCUGACACAUAAAUAUAUCUAUCUUCUAUCUCAUCUGGAGAUACGUGCAUUACAUACUACUUUUCUGUCCCAAGAAAAAAACUGAAAAACAAGAACUAAAGACAUGCACCUGAACGCAUUUCAUUUGUUUGGAAAGAAGCAUCUGAACACAUAUAUGAAUGAAUGAUUCGUCACAUUAUCUUACUGCACGAGAUCGACUUAGACCAUGUGUUGUCGUGCUUCAGCUAGUACACUGAAUUGUUGUGCUUCAGCUAGUACACUGAAUUUGCAAGCUACUGUAAAUUGCUCAGCGAAUGGCGCGUUUAAAUGACAGGGAGGGAACACAGCAAACAAUCUUAUAUAAAUGAAUGACUUUCGUCUUCCAGAUUUUGAGGCCACAUAUUAAAAUAUAUUACCAUCUCAAGGAAAAAAAGAAGGGACAAUGCUGGCAUUAUAGGCAGCCCGUUAAAAAUUUAUCCCCUACUGCAUACUUGAUAAUCCAACAAUAUUUAUAAAACGCUGAGCGUGCUGUGUUUAGCUUACAAUUAUCUCAUUAUGCAUUUGCAAUUUGAUAAUUUAUAGUUGGAAAUUUUUCCAAUGAGAAUAUUUCACUUCAGUCCUUUGACUGUGCAACUGACUUUUCUGUAGUGAGAUAUAUACCUAUCAAACCUGCUACAGUCUAGGUUAGAAUCUAAUCUUCUCCCAAAAAAUUUGAAACCGACCCGGCCAUCUAUAGCAUCAAUGAGAGCUUAUAGCCUACAUGCUAGCUCCAAAAAGAGGUGGUACUCCAGAAUUAUUAUUUAUUAUAGCAAUAUCAUCAGUAUAGUUGGUUACACAUAUAUCUGAUUAACUCAAGAUGCUGAUGCAGACCUAGAAUUCAGAAACUUGCAUGCUUAGAAUUCAGGAACUAAAGUACCAUGUCAAUCUAGCCAUCGAUCGGGCCAAAGAAUUAGAAAAUAAAACAAGCUAUGACUGCUUUGGUUGUCAGUAGUAUACGGAUCCAACUAGUAACCUCUGUAAUACUACACGCUCUUCUUACACAAAAAGGUGCUGAUUAAGUGAGGGAUCAGCUUAUGCUUCUUCUUUUUUUGCAGGGAGGAUUAGGUUAUGCUUCAGAUCAACAACAUGUCCAAACCACUCCACAGCAACUGCCAAUGGUACAACUCUCAAGUUACAGCAAGCUAGCAGUUCGAUCUACUAGAGACACAGGGUGGUACUCACGUUGGAAAAACAAGAACAAAGAGAACAAAUUGGGGAUCCCACCAUCGGUGCUUACCUAGCAACGCCCACUCCCUCCAGCCAGAGGUCCAAGCGGACGGAGUUGUCGGAGGCUGUGGCUCCAAGGAAGGGAGGAAGGGAUGGAGUCGGGGACUAUGGGACGUGGAAUGGGAUUGGGGUUGGGGGCGGCGGACGGACGGGUCUCGGGGACGGAUCUCAUGAGCCCGGAGAUGGAGCCCGGCAGCACAGGGCAGAAGUCGAACAAUAGCAGGGCCGGCACCCCGGCAGCAGCGGCAGCCCGGAGAUGGAGCUCCGACGGCAGCAGGAGCCCGGAUAUGGAACCCCGCAGCAGCAGGUACAGCAGCAGCGGGAGCCGGGAGAUGGAUCCCCGGCAGCCGCAGAACGGGGAUUGGCGAUGACGGCGGCUGGACGUCGGGGGGAGGGGCGUUGUGCGCGGACGGCGGCUAGAUGUGCAGCGCGAGGAUGGCGCCUCGAUCUAGGGCUGGAGCUCAAGGGAUUGAGUACGGCGGAUUGAGGACGGGGUGGAGCGCGAAGCCGGCGGCGGG